Molecule: long non-coding RNA, 214 nt
Filed under: Mytilus galloprovincialis (Mediterranean mussel)
Lineage: Eukaryota; Metazoa; Mollusca; Bivalvia; Mytilida; Mytilidae
Source: RNAcentral
CAAAAAUGCUAGAAUUGUGAAGAUUUCAGUAAUUUAGCAUGACUUAAUGGUGCAAGUACCCGAUAUAUGUGCAUUGUAUUGUCAAAAUCAGCCCAAAUUUAUGUAGCAGAAGCAAUCUUCUGUCCAAUGAAUAACUAAAAGUUUACAUUUUAACAAAUUUGUAAAACUGCUAUAUUUUGGGGCCAAAAAGGGGUCUUACUGGACCUACUCCUUU